RNAcentral lists this ribosomal RNA (1216 nucleotides) under Escherichia coli. Its description in RNAcentral is "partial 23S ribosomal RNA". It matches the Rfam family "Bacterial large subunit ribosomal RNA", at positions 418 to 1638 of the family's 2925-position model. Lineage: Bacteria; Pseudomonadati; Pseudomonadota; Gammaproteobacteria; Enterobacterales; Enterobacteriaceae. The record is from RNAcentral.
CGGGACACGUGGUAUCCUGUCUGAAUAUGGGGGGACCAUCCUCCAAGGCUAAAUACUCCUGACUGACCGAUAGUGAACCAGUACCGUGAGGGAAAGGCGAAAAGAACCCCGGCGAGGGGAGUGAAAAAGAACCUGAAACCGUGUACGUACAAGCAGUGGGAGCCUCUUUAUGGGGUGACUGCGUACCUUUUGUAUAAUGGGUCAGCGACUUAUAUUCUGUAGCAAGGUUAACCGAAUAGGGGAGCCGAAGGGAAACCGAGUCUUAACUGGGCGUUAAGUUGCAGGGUAUAGACCCGAAACCCGGUGAUCUAGCCAUGGGCAGGUUGAAGGUUGGGUAACACUAACUGGAGGACCGAACCGACUAAUGUUGAAAAAUUAGCGGAUGACUUGUGGCUGGGGGUGAAAGGCCAAUCAAACCGGGAGAUAGCUGGUUCUCCCCGAAAGCUAUUUAGGUAGCGCCUCGUGAAUUCAUCUCCGGGGGUAGAGCACUGUUUCGGCAAGGGGGUCAUCCCGACUUACCAACCCGAUGCAAACUGCGAAUACCGGAGAAUGUUAUCACGGGAGACACACGGCGGGUGCUAACGUCCGUCGUGAAGAGGGAAACAACCCAGACCGCCAGCUAAGGUCCCAAAGUCAUGGUUAAGUGGGAAACGAUGUGGGAAGGCCCAGACAGCCAGGAUGUUGGCUUAGAAGCAGCCAUCAUUUAAAGAAAGCGUAAUAGCUCACUGGUCGAGUCGGCCUGCGCGGAAGAUGUAACGGGGCUAAACCAUGCACCGAAGCUGCGGCAGCGACACUGUGUGUUGUUGGGUAGGGGAGCGUUCUGUAAGCCUGCGAAGGUGUACUGUGAGGUAUGCUGGAGGUAUCAGAAGUGCGAAUGCUGACAUAAGUAACGAUAAAGCGGGUGAAAAGCCCGCUCGCCGGAAGACCAAGGGUUCCUGUCCAACGUUAAUCGGGGCAGGGUGAGUCGACCCCUAAGGCGAGGCCGAAAGGCGUAGUCGAUGGGAAACAGGUUAAUAUUCCUGUACUUGGUGUUACUGCGAAGGGGGGACGGAGAAGGCUAUGUUGGCCGGGCGACGGUUGUCCCGGUUUAAGCGUGUAGGCUGGUUUUCCAGGCAAAUCCGGAAAAUCAAGGCUGAGGCGUGAUGACGAGGCACUACGGUGCUGAAGCAACAAAUGCCCUGCUUCCAGGAAAAGCCUCUAAGCAUCAGGUAACAUC